AGAGUUUGAUCCUGGCUCAGAACGAACGCUGGCGGCAGGCUUAACACAUGCAAGUCGAACGGGUGCAGCAAUGCAUCAGUGGCAGACGGGUGAGUAACACGUGGGAACCUUCCUAGGGGUACGGAACAACUCAGGGAAACUUGAGCUAAUACCGUAUACGUCCGUGAGGAGAAAGAUUUAUCGCCCUUAGACGGGCCCGCGUCGGAUUAGCUAGUUGGUGGGGUAACGGCCUACCAAGGCGACGAUCCGUAGCUGAUCUUAGAGGAUGAUCAGCCACACUGGGACUGAGACACGGCCCAGACUCCUACGGGAGGCAGCAGUGGGGAAUCUUGGACAAUGGGCGCAAGCCUGAUCCAGCCAUGCCGCGUGAGUGAAGAAGGUCUUCGGAUUGUAAAGCUCUUUUGCCAGGGACGAUAAUGACGGUACCUGGAGAAUAAGCCCCGGCAAACUUCGUGCCAGCAGCCGCGGUGAUACGAAGGGGGCUAGCGUUGUUCGGAAUUACUGGGCGUAAAGCGCACGUAGGCGGGUCGUUAAGUCAGGGGUGAAAUCCCGGAGCUCAACUCCGGAACUGCCUUUGAUACUGGCGAUCUAGAGAUCGGAAGAGGUGAGUGGAAUUCCCAGUGUAGAGGUGAAAUUCGUAGAUAUUGGGAAGAACACCAGUGGCGAAGGCGGCUCACUGGUCCGAUACUGACGCUGAGGUGCGAAAGCGUGGGGGAGCAAACAGGAUUAGAUACCCUGGUAGUCCACGCCGUAAACUAUGGAAGCUAGCCCGUCAGUCAGCUUGCUGAGUGGUGGCGCAG
Molecule: ribosomal RNA, 800 nt
Filed under: uncultured bacterium
Lineage: Bacteria
Description: bacterial SSU rRNA
Rfam family: Bacterial small subunit ribosomal RNA
Source: RNAcentral